GUAAAUAUAGUUUAACUAAAACAUUAGAUUGUGAGUCUAACACUAGAAGAAAUAGAAUCUUCUUAUUUACC
RNAcentral lists this transfer RNA (71 nucleotides) under Proechimys goeldii. RNAcentral describes it as "tRNA-His". It matches the Rfam family "tRNA". From Rfam's summary of the family: Transfer RNA (tRNA) molecules are approximately 80 nucleotides in length. Their secondary structure includes four short double-helical elements and three loops (D, anti-codon, and T loops). Lineage: Eukaryota; Metazoa; Chordata; Mammalia; Rodentia; Echimyidae. The record is from RNAcentral.